This 554-nucleotide ribosomal RNA is filed under the name Ilanga sp. 16 LS-2013. RNAcentral's name for it is "partial 16S ribosomal RNA". It matches the Rfam family "Bacterial large subunit ribosomal RNA", at positions 1817 to 2597 of the family's 2925-position model. Lineage: Eukaryota; Metazoa; Mollusca; Gastropoda; Trochida; Solariellidae. The record is from RNAcentral.
CGCUCUUUGUGAUUUUAAGUAUAAAGAGUCGGACCUGCCCAGUGACAUACGUGUUAAACGGCCGCGGUACUCUGACCGUGCAAAGGUAGCAUAAUCACUUGCCUUUUAAUUGGAGGCUUGUAUGAAUGGUUUGACGAGAACUAAGCUGUCUCCUUAUAAAUAUUUAGAAAUUAACUUAUAGGUGAAGAGGCCUAUAUGUAUCUAAGGGACAAGAAGACCCUUUUGAGUUUUAGUGAAGUAGAAAAUAAAUUUAUUGUUUUAUUUAAUUGAAUAAAAUGUUUUAAUUAUAUCUUAGAGUAUAAAUUAAAUUUUUUAUUAAUCUUUAGUUGGGGCGACUGAGGAGCAUAGUAAGCUUCCUUUAAUUAAAAAUAAUGACUGGCAGGUUAGUUUGAUCCAAUUUUGUUGAUUAAAGGAAAAAAUUACCAUAGGGAUAACAGCGUAAUCUUUUUGGAGAGUUCUUAUCGAAGAAAGGGUUUGCGACCUCGAUGUUGGACUAAGAUAUCCCAGGGGUGUAGAAGUUUCUGAGGGUUGGUCUGUUCGACCAUUAAAAUCUU